UCAGAAACAAAUGAGAAAAAA
Molecule: non-coding RNA, 21 nt
Filed under: Caenorhabditis elegans
Lineage: Eukaryota; Metazoa; Nematoda; Chromadorea; Rhabditida; Rhabditidae
Source: RNAcentral